RNAcentral lists this ribosomal RNA (1365 nucleotides) under Brachiacantha groendali. Its description in RNAcentral is "partial large subunit ribosomal RNA". The stretch from base 1069 to 1227 matches the Rfam family "Archaeal large subunit ribosomal RNA", at positions 2544 to 2703 of the family's 2987-position model. Lineage: Eukaryota; Metazoa; Arthropoda; Insecta; Coleoptera; Coccinellidae. The record is from RNAcentral.
ACAUUAAAAAGGGUAAUUAUUAAUAUAAUUUAUAUUGAAUUUAAAAAUUUAUUUUUAAAAAAAUAUUUUUUAGUUUUAAAUUAAAUAUUAUAAAUUUUAUUAAAUUUAGAAAAAAUUAUUUUUAUUAUAGUUUAUUAGUAUUGAAAAAUAAAAUUUUAUAAUUUUUAUAAGAAAAUUUAAAUUGUACCUUGUGUAUCAGGGUUUUUUAAUUAAAAUUUAAUUAUUAAAUUUUCUCGAAUUUAAAAGAGCUAAUUUAUUAUAAAUUUUAUUGUAAAAUUACUAUUUAUAAUAAUAAAUUAGUAAUGAAAUGUUAAACGUUUUUAAAUAUUUCUAGUUUAUUAAGAAAAAAAUUUAAUUUUAUUUUUUAAUAUAAAAUUUAUUUUUUUAAUUAAUUUUAAUUAAAAAUUAAAUAGUUUUAGGGAUAAGCUUAAAAUUAAAUUUUUAUAAUUAAUUUGUUAAAAAUAAUAUAUAGAAUUAAAAUUGUUUUUUAUUUAUAGUUUUUUAUAAGAAAUUAUUUUUUUUAUAUAAUUUUUACUUAAUUUAAUUUUUUUAUUAAUAAAAUUUAUUUAAUAAAAAAAUAUUUUUAAUAAUGAAAAAAUUAGUAUAAUUUUUUAUAAUUAAAUAUUUUUUUAAUAAAUAUUAUUAAGGAAUUCGGCAAAAUUUUUAUUCACCUGUUUAUUAAAAACAUCUUUUUUUGAAAAUAAUAUAAAAUAGGGCCUGCCCACUGAAAAUUUUGAAGGGCCGCAGUAUUUUGACUGUGCAAAGGUAGCAUAAUCAUUAGUUUUUUAAUUGAAAGCUGGAAUGAAUGGUUUAAUGAAAUAAAAUCUGUCUUAGUAAUAAAAAGAGAAUUUUAUUUUUAAGUUAAAAAGCUUAAAUUUUUGAAUUAGACGAGAAGACCCUUUAGAGUUUAAUUUAUAAAAAUAAUUAAUUUAAAGAAUUUAAUAAUUAAUUUUUUUUUAUAAAUUAUAUUGGGGUGAUAGUAAAAUUAAAUAAACUUUUAUUUUAUUUUAACAUAAGUUUAUGAAUUAUUGAUCCAUUAUUAUGAUUAAAAGAUUAAAUUACCUAAGGGAUAACAGCGUAAUUUUUUUUUAGAGUUCAAAUUAAGAAAAAAGAUUGCGACCUCGAUGUUGGAUUAAAAUUUAAUUUUGGUGUAGAAGCUAAAAUUUUAAGUCUGUUCGACUUUUAAAAUUUUACAUGAUCUGAGUUUAGACCGGUGUAAGCCAGGUCGGUUUCUAUCUUUUUAAAAAGAAAAUAUUUUAGUACGAAAGGACCAAAUAUUAAAUUUAAAAUUUAAUUUUUGAAUAAAAUUAUUGUUUUGGCAGAAUAGUGCAAUUGAUUUAGAAUCUUUAUAAGUAAUUUUUACAA